AUUGAACGCUGGCGGCAGGCCUAACACAUGCAAGUCGAGCGGAUGAAGGGAGCUUGCUCCUGGAUUCAGCGGCGGACGGGUGAGUAAUGCCUAGGAAUCUGCCUGGUAGUGGGGGAUAACGUCCGGAAACGGGCGCUAAUACCGCAUACGUCCUGAGGGAGAAAGUGGGGGAUCUUCGGACCUCACGCUAUCAGAUGAGCCUAGGUCGGAUUAGCUAGUUGGUGGGGUAAAGGCCUACCAAGGCGACGAUCCGUAACUGGUCUGAGAGGAUGAUCAGUCACACUGGAACUGAGACACGGUCCAGACUCCUACGGGAGGCGGCAGUGGGGAAUAUUGGACAAAGGGCGAAAGCCUGAUCCAGCCAUGCCGCGUGUGUGAAGAAGGUCUUCGGAUUGUAAAGCACUUUAAGUUGGGAGGAAGGGCAGUAAGUUAAUACCUUGCUGUUUUGACGUUACCAACAGAAUAAGCACCGGCUAACUUCGUG
This 484-nucleotide ribosomal RNA is filed under the name uncultured bacterium. RNAcentral's name for it is "partial 16S ribosomal RNA". It matches the Rfam family "Bacterial small subunit ribosomal RNA", at positions 30 to 507 of the family's 1533-position model. The record is from RNAcentral.